UAUUUCUGGACGGAGGGAGUAGUAUUUUGCAUCUGUACCUUUUCCAUUCUUUUCUCUUGACGUGAACCCAUUUCCCAUUCUCGUUCAUUUUUCUCUUUUUCUUCCCUGAUCUAGGGAUUCAUCCACAGAUCGUUGGAUCCAGUAAGUGAGAAGGACGUGGUGAGUAGGAUUUGCGGCAGAGUGUCGUCGUUGCAGGCUCUUGGCGGCGGCUGGUCCUCCAGCUCGACUACACGUGCCUGCUGCUCGCGUGCCGCCGUCGAUUGGAUGGCCGUGGAGUUCGCCCCCCUUGAACCUAAGCGGCAGCACUCCUCCAGACGGAGAGAGUGUUCUCCGGUGAGGUACUACUCAGAAGCCGGGAAGGGCAAAUGCAGAGAGGUGACCAAUAUGUGCAUGGAGUUUUUUUAGGAUCAAGCGAGCGAAGGUUUGCCUCAAUUUAUGUCAGAGUUGCUCAUAUCCCCCCGCCCGUUUGCUUACCUUGCGUUAUUUUGGGGAAUUAACAGUUGACAUUCUGCCCAACCUAGAUCGUCUCUUCAAUUUAGCUUGUCUCUUCAACACAUCCGUAUUAAUUAUGUGAAGUUCCGUAUAGCGAAAGGUGUUCAAUACUUCAUUGUUUCGUCUACUACCUAUAACACAUGUAAUCUUUCAAUAAUUCAUUGUCUUGUCUGUAUUUGUUAACAUUUAUAUACGUCAAUACACAUACAUUUAUUUGGUUGA
Molecule: long non-coding RNA, 714 nt
Organism: Triticum aestivum (bread wheat)
Lineage: Eukaryota; Viridiplantae; Streptophyta; Magnoliopsida; Poales; Poaceae
Exons: 2
Source: RefSeq, a predicted model, not a curated record